Non-coding RNA from Musa acuminata subsp. malaccensis (wild Malaysian banana), 746 nucleotides. Lineage: Eukaryota; Viridiplantae; Streptophyta; Magnoliopsida; Zingiberales; Musaceae. The record is from RefSeq and is a predicted model, not a curated record.
UCAACAGUAUCACCAACGGUUGGUUAUUAUAACAAACAGCUUGCCGUCGUCGUCAUCUCUCUCUCUCUCUCUCUCUCUUUUUCUUGGAUUGGCGCCGGAUUUCUUCCGACGAUGGCAAGGUGCCUCGUGGAUCCUCCACGCGCGAUGGCUUCCCCUCCAAUCUCUCCUUUCUCUUUUACACCCGCGCUUCAGCUAUUUCUUGGUUUGUUCCGGCUUCUUGAUUGUUUUCUUGCUGAUUGAUUCUUUCGGCGGUGGCAAGAUUCCUCAUGGCUUGAUGGCUUCUUGUUGGUCGGAAGCAUCGGUGGAUGAGAUGAUUAAGUUCUUGGCCAACGAGAUGAUUAAGUUCGUCCAGCAGCACGCCGAAGCCUCUAUCGCCCAUCUCCUCAGCCUCAAAACAGACAGGAUUGGGGGACAGAUUUAUGAAGUAACCUGCAUACAUAAGGCAUAGAGGAUUCUUCUGUUCGAUGAGGUCAAUGACUGAACACCGGAUUCGUGUUGCUGAGGGGAUGAAGGACUUCAACUAAAUUUCUACUAAUCAGCAUCUCAACAUAAGAGAGAGGGAGUAAGGCACUGUAACCAUCUUUCUAGAUAGGCUAGAUUUUGAGUAUCGGUAUCAACUCCCUUUUUUUCUUAUGGUAGACGGAUGCUUGCAUUUGUAGUUUUGUUUGAAUGGAAAAUGUUAAGUAGGAAGUUUUAUUGCAUUAUAUGCUAUUAAUAUUAAUAAGUAUUUUUAUUGAAUCUCGUAU